GUGACAGAAGAGAGUGAGCACAUGGGGUGCUUUUCUUGCAUGCUUUUCAUGCUUGAAGCUCUGCGUGCUCACUCUCUAUCUGUCAU
RNAcentral lists this microRNA precursor (86 nucleotides) under Corchorus capsularis. RNAcentral describes it as "pre miRNA mir-156". It matches the Rfam family "mir-156 microRNA precursor family". Rfam says of the family: This family represents the plant microRNA (miRNA) precursor mir-156. Animal miRNAs are transcribed as ~70nt precursors and subsequently processed by the Dicer enzyme to give a ~22nt product. The record is from Rfam by way of RNAcentral. Lineage: Eukaryota; Viridiplantae; Streptophyta; Magnoliopsida; Malvales; Malvaceae.